Molecule: ribosomal RNA, 467 nt
Filed under: uncultured bacterium
Lineage: Bacteria
Description: partial 16S ribosomal RNA
Rfam family: Bacterial small subunit ribosomal RNA
Source: RNAcentral
GAUGAACGCUGGCGGCGUGCUUAACACAUGCAAGUCGAACGGAAAGGCCCAAGCUUGCUUGGGUACUCGAGUGGCGAACGGGUGAGUAACACGUGGGUGAUCUUCCCUGCACUUCGGGAUAAGCCUGGGAAACUGGGUCUAAUACCUGAUAGGAGCACGUCUUGGAGGUUGUGGUUGAAAGUUUUUGCGGUGUGGGAUGAGCUCGCGGCCUAUGAGCGUGUUGGGGGGGUAAUGGCCAACCAAGGCGUCGACGGGUAGCCGGACUGAGAGGGUGUACGGCGACCCUGGGACCGAGGGAAGGCCCAGACUCCGAAGGGAGGCAGCUGUGGGGAAUAUUGAACCAUGCGUGCCAGCCUGAUGAAGAGAGGCUGCGUGGGGGAUGACGGUCUUAGGGUUGUAAACUGCUUUUGAUAGGGACGAAGCGUUUUGUGACGUUACCUGCAGAAGAAGCACCGGCUAACUACGUG